UACGUAGGUGGCAAGCGUUGUCCGGAAUUAUUGGGCGUAAAGCGCGCGCAGGUGGUUUCUUAAGUCUGAUGUGAAAGCCCACGGCUCGACCGUGGAGGGUCAUUGGAAACUGGGGAACUUGAGUGCAGGAGAGAAGAGUGGAAUUCCACGUGUAGCGGUGAAAUGCGUAGAGAUGUGGAGGAACACCAGUGGCGAAGGCGACUCUUUGGCCUGUAACUGACACUGAGGCGCGAAAGCGUGGGGAGCAAACAGG
RNAcentral lists this ribosomal RNA (253 nucleotides) under uncultured bacterium. RNAcentral's name for it is "partial 16S ribosomal RNA". It matches the Rfam family "Bacterial small subunit ribosomal RNA", at positions 524 to 776 of the family's 1533-position model. The record is from RNAcentral.